AUACUUUAAAAAAAUAAAAGCACUUCCUUGUGACUUGUAAACUGAUUCAUCAAGUCCUUAGAAAAAUUGAAAACCCUCCUUCAACCUAAACCUUCUAUCGGCAAAAAACCGCCACCCACGAAAUCGAAACCACCAUCAAUACUCCCGAAAUUGAUACCCUCCAUCAAAAAAUUGAUAAUCGCGAAACUGAAACCCUCCAUCAACAAAUUGAGAAUCGCGAAAUUGCUACGAAAGAUUCAGAGAUCAUCACUUAGGCACCGCACGAAGCCAUCGGCGAAGCGUUCCAAAAUCGUAUUCGAUUCGUCCCUCUUCCUCUUCUCUAUUCGUGUAAUUUGAUUUAGUGAUUUGGUUUAGUUUUCUAGGCUUGUCUUUGGGUUAAUUGGUUCACUACUGAUUUUUAUAAAUCCGUUUCUUACUACUGAAUAACUCUGUGUGCAGUUGAACAAAUUUAUUGAGGAAUAAUAAUAAAUAAAUAAAGUUAGAAAUUAACUGGGAGUGUGGCCACAGGGAUCGUGGCUAAUUAACAGAUACUUGGCAGCUUCUUUCCUAUGAGUUUCUGAAUGUGUGUACUUAUUUUCUCUUGGAUAUUUAUAGAAUUAUAGGCAUAGUUUUCCAAGUGUUGUGUUGGUCAAGGAAUUCAUAUUUUUGUUUGAAUAAAUAGGAACUAGUCGAUGGUUCACUUUCUUUUGGAGUUUCAGGGACAAUAUCUUCUUCUGAACUUUCCUGUAAAUAGCCUUGGUAAUUAGCUAGCAUGUUCAUCUUUGAAUCGUGUUUCUUGUAUGGGUUUAUUCAUUACCUUUUCAGGCUCAAAAAAUGGUUUCCAAGAAAAACCAUUUUGUUUUGAAAAUGUUUUCCUUAAAGACAAACAAAGCCUAGUCUUGCAAAUGAAAUAUACUCCGUUGUCCGGAUUUUAUAGUCAUGUUGAUAAAUACAAUUCGAACUAGCUAUAUGAAACUAAAUGUAGACGAAGGGAGUAAUCAAACAUUGUCUAUCAGUUUCCUAGAGCCUGUUACAGUCUAAAAUAAUAACUGAAAGUCUGAAAGAUCAAUGCAGCCAACUUAAAUAUGUAACUGCAUUCACCUUACAUUCUUCUCAUGCAUACUAUAUGGAUCAAGCGUAAAUCUAUAAUGGACAUCAUAUCCCUCCGUUAUCAUAUGGAUCAAUUGCCUCAAGCUUAGCUAGUUAGCUCUAUAAUAUAAUUGCCUGUGUUGUUGUGUGGCUCUCUAGUCACUUGACUGUCACAGUCUAGAAGAAAAAAGAACCUUAAUCUUUCAGAGUCGAUAUCAAGUGAUCCGUCUUCUGUUCUUCAUACCUUUGACCUUGUGCAUAAUGAUAUUAUCAUCGUUUGACAUCUCAUCUCCAAUGUUUACAUGAUUUUUCUGUUAGCAAUCGAGAUAAACUCUUGCAGAACUGUUUCAGAACAUAAACAAAAGAUAGCUAGGUUCAACAUUUUUCUUACAUUUUAAAGAAAAGAGUAAGAAAUUAUCAGGGGUAGAAUCCUGAAAAUACCUCUUUAUAUAUUCCUGAUUCUCCAGCAGGUUUUGAUACUUCCACAACAUAAUUUGUUGGUGCCACUUCAAUUACAUCAGCCAACAGGUUAAAAGACGAACGAAACUUAUAUUUUAGUUGUAUUUGCAUCGUGUUGUUACUCACCCAUUCAACUGAAAGACUUGCAUCCCUUGCUGCUUUCUCUAUCUUUUCUAUAGUUUCAGUAAUUGUGUAUUUUGAUCCCAGCUUUAUCCUGUUGUUCUUGUCGUCCUGUUUUUCAAGAUACAAUUAAUCUAAUGAGUGCAGAUCUUAUUAGUAAAAUUUACUACUUUAUUUGAGAAAAUCACUAGAGAAUCGUCAUUAACCAUAUAUAAGGACGCUCUUCAAAUAGGGUUGACAAAUCAAGGUCGCUAGACAUUGCGAUCAGUUGGAAGGCAUUGAUAAAUCCUUGAGUUCCAGGAACAAUUUCUUCUUCUGAACUUUCCUGAAAAAAAAAGCCUUGGCAAUUAGUUAGCAUGUUCAUCUUUGAACCGUACAUGUUUCUUGUAUAUGUUUAUUCAUUACCUUUUCAGGCUCAAAAACUGCUCGAACAUCAUCUGUGUAGCUUUUUCCUUGAAAGUAAAUUCCUGCAGCAGGCUUAUAAUCUCUCUGAAACCACUCAUCUUCAACAAUUUCUGCUACUGUAAUUCUCUGCAGAAAACAGAAGUCGAGGUUGGUAAGAUCAAUCUGUCGUUUUUCAGUGUCCCAUACUUUUAUAUGAAUUUAAAUCCGCAUAACUUUUUUGAACGGGAAUUCAAUAAUCUUCCAAUAAGUUGCUUCUGAGUUGGUGUAUACAAAUUUGGACAUUCAUACUCAACUCUCAAUAUCUAUGCAGAGGAAACUUUGUUAGAUGAAGGGUUCUUUUGUACUAUCAAAAGUGUUUUACCGUUUAUUUUGUGAGGGAAAAUACCUUUGUGUACAAAUUUAAUAGAUUUGGGUCAAUGAAUGGUAGAUAACCAGUAUACAACUCAAAUAGAUCACUCCAAAAGCCCAGACAUUUGCAAAUGCUCCAUCGUAAGUUUUCUUGUUCAUUUCAUGUUAAUUAGACAAUAUUAAAGUUAGUUCUUUCAUUUCAACAAUGUCGGACCAUUUUAUCUUAUCACUUAUCAUACAUUUAUUUGAUUGAAAACAAUUUCCUCUUACCUCAUGUGCUACAUAGGUUGGAGAAGCACAUGCUGUCAAUAACAAACUUGCAGGCUGUAGGCAUCAGUUCAGAAACUAGUAAGCGAAAACAUUGGGUAAACGAAUUUCACUUUGACGAAAUGUAAGUAUGUACCUUUUGCAAUGCAUUGAGUCCAAAGUCCGAUACUUUGAUGUUUCAUUGGUUAUCCAAAAGCAGGUUUUCUGUCUGCAUAGUAAAUGAAACAUGUCAAAUUGGGUCAGUCAGCUGGUUUGAGUUUUUAUUUGGAUCGGGCAAUCUAAUGGAGUUCAGAGUUCAGUAUCUUUCAGCUAUUCACAUUACCUUUAAAUCUCUGUGAUACACUCCUCUGGAAUGGCAGUAGUCUACUGCAUCAAUCAACUGCUGGAAGUAUUUUCUUGUACCCUCCUCACUUAACUUCUCCAAAAUACAUUCAAUUGGAGAGGUAUAUCAUGAAGAACAUGGAGUAGGAUACUGUGGUAUGCUGUCCAUGAGAGUAUCUUCUAUUGUGGUUUAGUGUAAGGUACCUGUAGAGGUUCCUGCUGUGGAGAAGCAACGGUGGGUCCUAAACGAUUUCGAUAUCGGAAAGCCUCUUGGCCGAGGAAAGUAUGGUCAUGUCUACUCUGUUUAAGAGAAGAGAGAUUUGUGAGAAAAGUAUACUUAUGGUAUGAGAACGACUUUAAGAAGAACGGUUAUGUGGUGGUUCUUCCGAGAAUGGCUUUCUUGUUCUCUUCCGAGAAUGAGUAUGAUUGUAGAAAUUUUUUAGUCUGAGAAUGGUUUUCUGUCUUAUGGUUUCAUGAGGGUUUUUUUUUCUCUUGUGGUUGCUGGUGAAUUUUUUAAACUUUUUUGCAAUGGUUUGUAUUAAUUAUUCGUUUCCUGAUUUGUAUUGAUUUUCAUUUCAGUUUGGCAACUAUAAUAAUUUGUAAUAA
RNA transcript from Spinacia oleracea (spinach), 3594 nucleotides. RefSeq lists it as uncharacterized. The transcript is spliced from 4 exons. The record is from RefSeq and is a predicted model, not a curated record. Lineage: Eukaryota; Viridiplantae; Streptophyta; Magnoliopsida; Caryophyllales; Amaranthaceae.